UUUGGCCGUAAAUUUAACCAACGAGACCAACUGCGGCGGGAACAAAAAUUAUAUCGCUGAAUUAUAUCAAAAAUACGAAUUCAGUAGCAUAGGUUUUGCUCCCGCCACAUUCGGUCUUGUUGGUUAAAUUUACGGUCAAA
This 140-nucleotide microRNA precursor is filed under the name Triticum aestivum (bread wheat). Its description in RNAcentral is "miR1125 stem-loop (tae-MIR1125)". Lineage: Eukaryota; Viridiplantae; Streptophyta; Magnoliopsida; Poales; Poaceae. The record is from miRBase by way of RNAcentral.